This 30-nucleotide non-coding RNA is filed under the name Homo sapiens (human). Lineage: Eukaryota; Metazoa; Chordata; Mammalia; Primates; Hominidae. The record is from RNAcentral.
UCCCAAAGUGCUACAGCUGACUAUAAGCGU